GACGAACGCUGGCGGCGUGCUUAACACAUGCAAGUCGAACGGAAAGGCCCUGCUUUUGUGGGGUGCUCGAGUGGCGAAUGGGUGAGUAACACGUGAGUAACCUGCCCUUGACUUUGGGAUAACUUCAGGAAACUGGGGCUAAUACCGGAUAGGAGCUCCUGCUGCAUGGUGGGGGUUGGAAAGUUUCGGCGGUUGGGGAUGGACUCGCGGCUUAUCAGCUUGUUGGUGGGGUAGUGGCUUACCAAGGCUUUGACGGGUAGCCGGCCUGAGAGGGUGACCGGCCACAGUGGGACUGAGAUACGGCCCAGACUGCUACGGGAGGCAGCAGUGGGGAAUAUUGCACAAUGGGCGGAAGCCUGAUGCAGCAACGCCGCGUGCGGGAUGACGGCCUUCGGGUUGUAAACCGCUUUCGCCUGUGACGAAGCGUGAGUGACGGUAAUGGGUAAAGAAGCACCGGCUAACUACGUG
Molecule: ribosomal RNA, 468 nt
Filed under: uncultured bacterium
Lineage: Bacteria
Description: partial 16S ribosomal RNA
Rfam family: Bacterial small subunit ribosomal RNA
Source: RNAcentral